AGCCCCGUAGUGUAGUGGCCAAUCAUCUCCGGUUCUGGGCCGGGGGACCUAGGUUCGAAUCCUGGCGGGGCUA
RNAcentral lists this transfer RNA (73 nucleotides) under Candidatus Woesearchaeota archaeon. RNAcentral's name for it is "tRNA-Gln". It matches the Rfam family "tRNA". From Rfam's summary of the family: Transfer RNA (tRNA) molecules are approximately 80 nucleotides in length. Their secondary structure includes four short double-helical elements and three loops (D, anti-codon, and T loops). The record is from RNAcentral. Lineage: Archaea; Nanobdellati; Candidatus Woesearchaeota.